Molecule: long non-coding RNA, 519 nt
Organism: Pseudophryne corroboree (corroboree frog)
Lineage: Eukaryota; Metazoa; Chordata; Amphibia; Anura; Myobatrachidae
Exons: 2
Source: RefSeq, a predicted model, not a curated record
ACAGGGGCAAGAGGGAAACCUUGCCAGGAUUACAUAUGCCUGGCACUCAGGAAAUCCUAGUGACCUGUGUGGGGGAGACACUAUAAGGGAUAUCUGUGCCUAUUCCUGUCCAGGAUGUUUUCCUUCAGCCGUCUUCAGAACGCGUUCAGGGUUUCUCCAGGACAGGACGGCAGUGAGCUUCCUCCUGGAUUGACGUCACAAGUCAAAAUCUCCUCUCCUGCCUAAAAUUCCUGGUUUUCCAGUGUGAACAGAAAUGUUUUACUGUGGUCCGAGGAUAAUCCCACUAGGCACACAAGGGGCUCUAGUGGGCUUGCACGCAACAGGACAUAGGGCCUGAUUAAGGUCGCAUCGCACUUCUCCCUGUAUGUGCCUGAAAUUAGAAUGGUGUCUCCGCACAGACGCAGUUGGGAAGCAUGCGCAGUAUCAAGAUAUUACUCCACUAUGCUCACCAUUGGCAGUGUGUAGUACACCUCUGUAUCCGGCCCUUUAUCAGCAAAUAAAUGCAAUGUGAUUCUCCUA